RNAcentral lists this ribosomal RNA (380 nucleotides) under uncultured organism. RNAcentral describes it as "partial 16S ribosomal RNA". It matches the Rfam family "Bacterial small subunit ribosomal RNA", at positions 527 to 896 of the family's 1533-position model. The record is from RNAcentral.
GUAGGUGGCAAGCGUUGUCCGGAAUUAUUGGGCGUAAAGCGCGCGCAGGUGGUUCUUUAAGUCUGAUGUGAAAGCCCCCCGGCUCAACCGGGGAGGGUCAUUGGAAACUGGGGAACUUGAGUGCAGGAGAGGAAAGUGGAAUUCCACGUGUAGCGGUGAAAUGCGUAGAUAUGUGGAGGAACACCAGUGGCGAAGGCGACUUUCUGGCCUGUAACUGACACUGAGGCGCGAAAGCGUGGGGAGCAAACAGGAUUAGAUACCCUGGUAGUCCACGCCGUAAACGAUGAGUGCUAAGUGUUGGGGGGGUUUUACCCGCCCCCCCGUCAGUGCUGCAGCUAACGCAUUAAGCACUCCGCCUGGGGAGUACGGUCGCAAGACUG